UACGUAGGGGGCAAGCGUUGUCCGGAAUCAUUGGGCGUAAAGCGCGUGUAGGCGGCUCGAUAAGUCUGCUGUGAAAGUCCAGGGCUCAACCCUGGGAUGCCGGUGGAUACUGUCGAGCUCGAGUCCGGAAGAGGCGAGUGGAAUUCCUGGUGUAGCGGUGAAAUGCGCAGAUAUCAGGAGGAACACCGGUGGCGAAGGCGGGUCUCUGGGCCGAUACUGACGCUCAGGUGCGAAAGCGUGGGGAGCAAACAGG
Molecule: ribosomal RNA, 253 nt
Filed under: uncultured bacterium
Lineage: Bacteria
Description: partial 16S ribosomal RNA
Rfam family: Bacterial small subunit ribosomal RNA
Source: RNAcentral